This 253-nucleotide ribosomal RNA is filed under the name uncultured bacterium. RNAcentral describes it as "partial 16S ribosomal RNA". It matches the Rfam family "Bacterial small subunit ribosomal RNA", at positions 524 to 776 of the family's 1533-position model. The record is from RNAcentral.
UACGGGGGGGGCAAGCGUUGUUCGGAAUUACUGGGCGUAAAGGGCUCGUAGGCGGCCAACUAAGUCAGACGUGAAAUCCCUCGGCUUAACCGGGGAACUGCAUCUGAUACUGGAUGGCUUGAGAUUGGGAGAGGGAUGCGGAAUUCCAGGUGUAGCGGUGAAAUGCGUAGAUAUCUGGAGGAACACCGGUGGCGAAGGCGGCAUCCUGGACCAACACUGACGCUGAGGAGCGAGAGCCAGGGGAGCAAACGGG